Molecule: non-coding RNA, 2228 nt
Organism: Tetranychus urticae (two-spotted spider mite)
Lineage: Eukaryota; Metazoa; Arthropoda; Arachnida; Trombidiformes; Tetranychidae
Source: RefSeq, a predicted model, not a curated record
CAAAUGCAGCAAUAGUGAUCAAUGAAUAGCCGAAACCUUUGUUAUUCAACUUGAACCCAAGGGUACAAACAAGAAACAUGAUAGUCAACAAGAUGAACCAACAAAAAAGCCUUCUCUUACUUGCUUAACAUUGAAUCAAAUUUUGCUCAUAAUAGAAUGAUUAUUAUGAUAUUAUUAUAUUCUUAUAAAUGUGUGUUUAGGUUUUUUUUGUUGGUAUCAUUAUUUAACCUUAAAUUGGUAAUAAGUUUAAUGGGCGGAUAAAUAAGUUUAAAUAACUAGUCACUUUCUCAAUCCGAUUACCAUGAUCCUAAUCUUUUCCGGCUUCUGAUUCCCUCUUCAUCAUCAGCCUCAUCAUUCUCCUCAUCUUCACAACAAAGCCUCUAAUGUGUUCGUUUGUGCGUUAACGGGUGAAGAAAAAAAGUGAACAUCAAGACCCUCAAUAAUAAGCGUAACAACAUUUAAAAAGCAAUGUGAAAGGACCAGUUUUUGUUGGGCAACAAUGACUAUCUUGUAGAACCAAAAAAGGGUCCUUUCCAAUGGUUAUUAUUCACAACAAGAUAAUCUUUACAUUUCAAUGUCACCCUAAAUUCAUUUAUUAUCAUUAAAAACUGUAAAAUCUUAAAAGUAUAUACAAAAAAACAAAAUGAAACAAGAUAAAUACAAGUUAAGGUCAGAAGUGUAACCCACAGAAACCAAAUAAAGACUAAUAGCGCCAAAGACAAAAUGUAAACAAGCAAAUCUGGUAAAAUGUUAUUGAAAUUUUAUUGAUCACUUUUGCUGAUUAAUCAAUGGUUGUUCAAUGUUAAUUUACAUACAUUUUAUAAUCGGAUCAUAACUGUUGUAUUUAACAAUGAUAAUGUUUUGAAAACAAUCAAACGGUAAGCUUUAUUGAUGAGAUUGAAGGUUGAAUAAAUGGUGAACAGCAAGAGAAAACCAAGAAAAAGGAAAAAAUGUAAUACAAAUGUUGAUCCUUGAUACUCAAAAUUGUAAUACUAAUUCAAUGAGACAAAGAAUAAGUAAGACAACACAAAGUGUUCAACACUAAAUCUAUGCUAAAUCUGUCUUAAAUCUAUAGUGGAUCCCAUGGAUUGGCCAGGAUAGAGACAGGAUGAAACUGAAUAAUAUGUUACUAUCAUCUUGUUGAUACCUGUAUAUAAGAAAGCUAUUUAAUAUUAACAUCAAUACAGAUUCAUCUUUCAUUCAUUUGUUGCACCAAGAUCAGCUGGCAUCAACAAUCAAACUGAAAUAAAUGUCAACAAGUCGACUCUACAUCAACUCAUUAUGUUCAACAAUCAAUUUACAAACAAACCAGCUUUUGAAACAUCAUCAAAUGAAGACAAUUAAAUCUUAAACUGGUGGUAAAAUAUCAAUGAUUUACUUGGCUAAAUUAUGUUUGCUGAUAUGAUAAUUUAAAUGGUUAAAAAAGCGUCCUCUCAAGGUUUGCCUUUAUACAGAUUAGGUUAACGGGUAAAACCAGGAUUUAAAAGCCAUUCUUACGGUUACAUUGUACACAAAGUAUAUCACCAUAAUCCAUCUAUGCGGAGGAAGCCAAUUAUUGGAAGACAAUCAAGAUGAAUGUGAACAGGAUAAUGAGGAUGAUGAGGAUGAUUGAAAAAGUAAGACAGUCUUUAAAGCUGCAGUUUACCAAAAAGAUUUCAGUCCAUUGGUAGACCAUAAUACACAGGAACCAUUGAAAGAAGGCUCCAAAAAAAUUGGAUCAAUUCCCUUUGAAAUUUGUGUGUCAAAAAGAUGGUUUUGUCACCUUAUUUUGGUCCUCUCGAUUUUCAUUUUUGUUUCAAAUGAUAAUUUUCCUGUCCAAAAGACUGUGGAUCAACCAGAAAAGGCUAAUCAUGAAGAUGACAAUGAGGAUGAUGAUAGUAAUGAUGAGGAUAAUAGUGGCAAUGGUUCAUUGAAAGUUUCCCCGUUUUUUAUGUAUUUAUUUAUGUAUUAGACAAUUUAACUUGAUGUUGCUGUUAAUAUCAAACCACUGAGGCUAAAAUUUUUUUUAUAUAUUUAUAUCAUUAUCGGUCUCAAGAGGCACAGAUGGUUUCAUAUAUCCAUAAAUACAUGUAUAUUGGUUAUAACUUAUAAGGUAUACCCUUACAUAUCCAAUUGAAAGGUCAUGUAUAUGUUUUCAUAUUCAGAAUUGAAGCAACAAUUUUCAUUUCCAAUCAAUGUAUCAUCCACACCAUUGAUUUGUAACUUAAAGUCAAUCAGUUCAUUUUGAA